GACGAACGCUGGCGGCGUGCUUAACUCAUGCAAGUCGAACGGAAAGGCCCUGCUUUUGUGGGGUGCUCGAGUGGCGAACGGGUGAGUAACACGUGAGUAACCUGCCCUUGACUUUGGGAUAACUUCAGGAAACUGGAGCUAAUACCGGAUAGGAGCUCCUGCUGCAUGGUGGGGGUUGGAAAGUUUCGGCGGUUGGGGAUGGACUCGCGGCUUAUCAGCUUGUUGGUGGGGUAGUGGCUUACCAAGGCUUUGACGGGUAGCCGGCCUGAGAGGGUGACCGGCCACAUUGGGACUGAGAUACGGCCCAGACUCCUACGGGAGGCAGCAGUGGGGAAUAUUGCACAAUGGGCGGAAGCCUGAUGCAGCAACGCCGCGUGCGGGAUGACGGCCUUCGGGUUGUAAACCGCUUUCGCCUGUGACGAAGCGUGAGUGACGGUAAUGGGUAAAGAAGCACCGGCUAACUACGUG
This 468-nucleotide ribosomal RNA is filed under the name uncultured bacterium. Its description in RNAcentral is "partial 16S ribosomal RNA". It matches the Rfam family "Bacterial small subunit ribosomal RNA", at positions 28 to 507 of the family's 1533-position model. The record is from RNAcentral.